Molecule: long non-coding RNA, 3372 nt
Organism: Manis pentadactyla (Chinese pangolin)
Lineage: Eukaryota; Metazoa; Chordata; Mammalia; Pholidota; Manidae
Exons: 2
Source: RefSeq, a predicted model, not a curated record
GUAAGGGAACUGGCUCCCUGUGUGGACCGGUGUCCCCAGCUUCCUGAAGAAUUUUUAGUAAAGGGCAUCGUGAGGGCCCCAGCCUGGGGGCCGUGUCUGGUUUUGAAUGCCUCCGAGUGGCAGGGCGUGUUUGGGCUGAUGCGGGACCCUCUCUCCCUCUUGGGCAAUCACAGGGGGCUGGGAGUGAUCCAGACACACGGGAGGUUAUUCCCGAGGGAACAGCCUGCCUGGCGGACUGUGUAAAAGCCACUGUGAGGUCUGUAUGUCCUGAGAACGGGGACUGCCCAGCCGCCCCUCUAAGUGCAGAUGGAGCACCCCAGAUGGAAGAGCUGCUAAUGCUUCCUAUGUGGGACUGGCUUUGCAGUGACCGAGGUAGGCGCCCACUGAAUGGUCCUGGUACACAGGUCACGGUGAGUGCUGAGGCUAAGGGCCCGUGUAACCUGACGGCUACAAAAUCGAGCAGUUUGAGGAGGCUUCUCAGAUUUCUUACCUCAGCUUCCCCUCGUGGGUCUUACGAUACCAAGAACAUGAGCAUAACUAGGAAGAUGGGGAGAGACAAAGGGGAGAGUGAAGGGACUCGGGCCAAGUGAGUGGGAGUUUUCAGAUGGUUAUUGAAAAAUUGUGUGAAUCAAGCAGACACUGCUGGGGUUGAAAAAAGGUAUUAAUGUAGCAGUACCAGAAAGUGGGUGAGCCGGUGGGAACCCCUGUUGUUGCUGCAACAUUACAGCAGCCCAAAAACUCCACUCUGUGUACCCCAGUUCGGAGGAAUUUAAAAACCCUGAAGUCCAUGAUUACAAUAAGGAAACUGACUGGGAAUCCCCGGGAGUGGUGGUCAGGCAGGUUAAUCAAUCUAAAGAUAGACAAAAGUGCCAGGGUCUUCUGGCCGCACCCCAGCCUGGGACCUGAGACCGUUCGCAUGUAUGUGGGAAAAAUGGCCAGGGGGAGGAGGAAAAUGGCCCUGGGGCUCCUUGGUACAGGAGCCCAAUGCACUAUGAUACCAAAACCUAUUGGUGAAGUCUUAGCAGGGGCUAAGGUUAGAGUGGGAGGAUAUGGAGAUGCAGUGGCUGAUGGUAUUGAGGUGGAAGUUUGGAUGAAAAUUGAGUGUUUGAGCACGUUUUGCUUGAGGUGGUUGCGUCCCCUUUACCUGAAAGGAUUAUUGGGGUGGAUACUGUGUCUGACUGGGGUUGGCUUCCCCUGCCUAAUACAGUAACACAGAAGGCAUGUAAGCCCACCCUCAGGCCUGUUUAGUCGGACAUGCUAAAUUGGGAAUGGCUGGAACUUGACAAACAUAUCACCAUUCUUAGGAGUGCCAUGCUGGAAGCUGGAGCGCUGCUGUCCGCAGAUCUGCUGUGCAGUAGUCCUGUGUGGCCUGUGCAGAGGUGGACGGCACAUAGAGACUAUUCAAGCUUAAAUGAAAUGGGUGCCGCCCAAGGUCCCAGCAGUUCCAGGCAUGGUCUCAGCCGUAGAGAAAGUACAGCAGGUUGGAGGAGGCUGGUACCCCUGGAUGGACCUUACAGAUGCUCUCUUCUCCGAGCCCGGUUUGCCUUCAGGUGGGAAGGAUCCCAGUUUGCCUCUGCUGUGCUAGGCGGGGAUCUGAGCUCCACGGCUGAUUGUCACCACGUGGUCAGGAGGGAUAUGGACUUGGCGCAACGCUUGAGUGUAAUAAUACACGAUGUUGGUGACAUUAUGGUAAUACCAGAAACGGAGGAGCUGGCUAGGACUCAUUUGAAUGCAACAAGGACAUACGUGCCCAACCAGGGCUGGUUAAUAAAUCCAGCGAAGGUCCAAGGUCCUGCUCAGUGAAAUUCGUAGGAAGAACAUGGGCAGGAGCCACCCAGGAUAUUCCAGAAGUGUGACUAUCAAUAAACUGCUGUCACUCCCCCACCAGGUCCAAACAAGAAGCCCAGCACUUGCUUGAUUUAUUUGGGUUUUGGAGGACUCACAUUCCACACCGGGAACUAUUUCUAGCUCCUGUGUGUAAGACUCCAUUAAAGAAACCUGCAUCUGAGUGGGGUCCUGAACAGAAGCAGGCCACGUCAGAACUAUACAUGGCAGCUGUGUGCUUGACACCAUCGGGCCCUUGUGACCCCCACUGAGACAGGAUUUUGGAAGUGUCUGCCCCCCACACCCAUGCAGACUGCACCUUGUGGGAAUAAAAAGAAAACGAGCACCUCCCAGCUGUGACCCUUGGGAUUCUGGACCAGAAAAUUCCCACAUGGUGCUGCCUGGUACACACCACUUGGGAGACAAUUAUGAACAUGCUGUUGGGAAUUAAUCAAGACUGCUUAAGUGACCAAAGGGCAGGCUGCCAGGAGGAUGCAAGGAGGCGCCCAUGGAUCCACGAGCAGGCAGCCUCAUCUCCUCUGGGACCGACACUGGAGCCCCCCGGGAACUGCAUGGACGGUGCCCUAGGAGCAGCUCUCAGCUGAACAACAGAGCUGCUUGGUUUACAGAGGGCAGUUCCAGGAGGCAUGGACUCCUUCCUGGUUGGAGGGCUGCUGCAGUAAGACCAGGGGAUGGCAAGACUGGCUGGGAGGAAGGAGAUAAACAUGAUCUCAGUGGGCUGAAUUCCAUGCCCUUUUCUGGGCAGUGACGGGAGAAUGGAGCAGUGAGGAAAGCCCCUCGUGCUGGGGUUCCUAUGACUUGGGGCUGUGGAUACUGGCCUGACUGUGUGGCCACGUAGACAGGAAAUGGGAAACUGGACUAUGAAAGCAAUGCCCACGUGGACAACGGCCAUAUGGAUAUUGCCCUGGGAAUUUGAGGGGCACGUUAAAGCAGGCCAUGUUGGUUUGUAUCAGAAGAAGCCUUUCUAGGAGUGGGAGGUGACUGUAGCCACCAGGUGGGCCUGCUGGUGCGGCCCUUGGAGGCAGCCGCCGGGGUCCAUACAAAGAGUGGCUGUGGGGAGCUGCAGCAGCGCGCGCACAGGCUGAGUCUACGCGUAUUCCUCUUGCACCCUGUGAGGCACGGAAUGCCAGCAAGACCUGUUCCGACUGUCAGCUAAAGAGACAGACACUGCAUUUGGCUAUGGGGAAAGUUCCCCAGUGGGCACGCCCUGCACAUAGCUGGCCAGUGGGUGAGAUUGGAUCAACGCUGCUACCGCUCGGAGGCUGUAAGUGGGUCGUUAGCAGAGUAGACACUUAUUCGGGACUAUGCUUUGCAUACCCAGUGGUAGGUGAAAUGCUGAAGACACCGUUUAAGGUUUGGAACUGAAGAUUCUAUACCAGUUUGGACAGCCAGGUUACAUCUCCGACCAGGGGACACGCUUUACCGACCAUGCUGUUCCACGGUGGGCCGAGAAACAUCCCAUCAGACGGAUGUACAGUGUUGCAUGUCACUCUCAGAGCAAUGGUUUAAUAGAAAAUUGGAACGGGC